RNAcentral lists this ribosomal RNA (726 nucleotides) under uncultured bacterium. RNAcentral's name for it is "bacterial SSU rRNA". It matches the Rfam family "Bacterial small subunit ribosomal RNA", at positions 777 to 1511 of the family's 1533-position model. The record is from RNAcentral.
AUUAGAUACCCUGGUAGUCCACGCAGUAAACGAUGGAUGCUAGCUGUCCGGGGCGAAUGAGUUCUGGGUGGCACAGCGAAAGCGUUAAGCAUCCCACCUGGGGAGUACGCCGGCAACGGUGAAACUCAAAGGAAUUGACGGGGGCCCGCACAAGCGGAGGAACAUGUGGUUUAAUUCGAUGAUACGCGAGGAACCUUACCCGGGCUCAAACGGCACAGUGAUACUUUUGAAAGGAGGUAGCUCUACGGAGACUGUGCCGAGGUGCUGCAUGGUUGUCGUCAGCUCGUGCCGUGAGGUGUCGGCUUAAGUGCCAUAACGAGCGCAACCCCUAUUGUCAGUUGCCAGCAGGUAAAGCUGGGGACUCUGACGGGACUGCCGGUGUAAGCCGAGAGGAAGGCGGGGAUGACGUCAAAUCAGCACGGCCCUUACGUCCGGGGCGACACACGUGUUACAAUGGCAGGCACAGCGGGAAGCCACCCGGCGACGGGGAGCGGAACCCGAAAGCCUGUCUCAGUUCGGAUCGGAGUCUGCAACUCGACUCCGUGAAGCUGGAUUCGCUAGUAAUCGCGCAUCAGCCAUGGCGCGGUGAAUACGUUCCCGGGCCUUGUACACACCGCCCGUCAAGCCAUGGAAGCCGGGAGCGCCUGAAGCGCGUGACCGCGAGGAGCGCGCUAAGGUGAUACCGGUGACUGGGGCUAAGUCGUAACAAGGUACCAAGGGCGAAUU